CGAAACUGUCAAAUAAGUUUAAAAAGGGAUAUUAAGCUAAAUUUAUCAAGUGUUUUAACAUUAACACAUUAAAUAAGACCAGUACUUAUGUUUGGUUUGGACUCACUUUUGAUUGUCAUGUUUAUUCAUGGAGCAGAUAGCUCCACCUGCUAACAGUGGACGGCAUCCUGUUUGAGAUAGGAGGAAAGUAUAAAAAGUUUCCGGGUGUCCUAGUUUUUCCAGUUGUUUGCAAUUGUAAUCGUCACUGAUGGCUGCUCACGUUGGGGUUAUGGAGAUGAUCUUUGGAUUGUUGCUGUUGUCCUUGGUGGCCGUCGGGAGAAACAGAGUAAUUGCUACGGACACUGAAACUGAAACUUAUGAAGAAGAAGAAGUGGAUGACGCUGAAAAGCUUCCCAUUCAACUAGACCACCUCACUGAGUAUUUAUUUGAUCACCUAAAACAAUUGCCUGUGAAGCAUAAAUUCCUGACUGGAGGCUCGUUAGAUCCAACUAAACAAACUGGAGAUCCAAAUGGGAAGUCUGCAGGCCCCAUGGAGCCAACUGUUGAGUCUAACUUCCAAAUUAAGAUCCCAGUCAGUUCCAUGAAACAGCUCCUUAUGCACACUAAACCGCAACUCUUCUUCCAGGACCAAGUAGGUCGCAUGAAACCUUUCAUUUUGGCCAUGAACCCCACAUCUGUUUUUGGAGAUCCACUGGGUCCCAGGAAACCAAUGCCUAUGCCAGUGGAGCCAAAUUACCCAAUCGGGGGCCCAGUAGGUCCUAUGAAACCAGUGCCANNNNNNNNNNAUGCCAGUGGAACCAAAAUACCCAAUUGGGGGCCCAGUAGGUCCUAUGAAACCAGUGCCUAUGCCAGUGGAACCAAAAUACCCAAUUGGGGGCCCAGUAGGUCCUAUGAAACCAGUGCCAAUGCCAGUGGAGCCAAAAUACCCAUUUUGGGGCCCUGUAGGUCCUAUGAAACCAGUGCCUAUGCCAGUGGAGCCAAGGUAUCCAAUUGGGGGCCCUGUGGGUCCUAUGAAGCCAAACCCUUUCCCUAUGGAGCCCAAAUACCCAAUUGGGGGCCCAGUAGGUCCCAUGAAGCCUAUGCCAGUGGAGCCAAAGUAUCCAAUUGGGGGCCCUGUGGGUCCUAUGAAGCCUAUGCCUGUGGAGCCAAAGUAUCCAAUUGGGGGCCCUGUGGGUCCCAUGAAACCAAUGCAUUUGCCCAUGCAGCCUCGCGACAAUUCAGCAGGACCACCGUACAAAGACUUGGACUUCAUGGGCCCCUUCCAGAUGCCUCAGGCAUCCCAAUCAUCAAGUUUUGAUGGGACGUUUUACGCAGAUCCUGUUUUUGACUUUUAUAUGUGGUUUUGCAACAUGGGAGAUCGGUUAGAACCACCACAACAGCCCCCCCAGGGCCAACAAAAGUGGGAACAACUACAUUAACAGGUUGGGUGUUUGAUUUUCAUCAUUUUUCCAGUUUCUUUACUACAGUUUUUAAAGUAAUGUGCUGUUUGUUUUUUCCAGGUACAAUGGUGAAGGAGCUGAUCGGCUGUAUAUUUUUUACCACAAUAAAAUGUUUAUCUGUGAUUCCGUGUCUGUCUUUGUUUGCUAUCACACUGACUAAAGUAAGAUGAGGGAGUUCAGACAUGAUAAGUUUUCCCAGAAGAAGGCCUUUCUUUGUGUUUAUAUAGUUAAAGACAGAAGGUCAUUUUGUUGACAGUAGUUUUCAGGCUC
Long non-coding RNA from Oryzias sinensis (Chinese medaka), 1709 nucleotides. The record is from Ensembl. Lineage: Eukaryota; Metazoa; Chordata; Actinopteri; Beloniformes; Adrianichthyidae.